Molecule: unclassified non-coding RNA, 240 nt
Filed under: soil metagenome
Description: partial contains 5.8S ribosomal RNA, internal transcribed spacer 2, and large subunit ribosomal RNA
Source: RNAcentral
AAGACUAUAGACCUGCGGAGUACCUGCGGAAGGAUCAUUAACGUAUCUAUGAUGGGGUGCGGAGCGCCCUGCUCCGGUCGAACGGCCGUGCAGUGGGUGCGCCGCCCCCGUCCCACCUCACAAACCCACUGUGAACAUUCACCGGUGGAGGGGGCUCGGUCUGCGCCGUGUCCCCGAUGCCGAAUACCCAAACUCCGGUUGCAAAGAACGUCGUGCGGACUCGGUGCCGCCUAAAACAUG